AGCAGCCGCGGUAAUUCCAGCUCCAAUAGCGUAUAUUAAAGUUGUUGCAGUUAAAAAGCUCGUAGUUGAAUUUCGGGAUUGGCGCAUCGGUCGUGCCUCACGGGGUAUGAACUGGUGCAGUCAAUUUCUCACCUUCUGGAGAACCGCGAUGUCCUUAAUUGGAUGCCGCGGGGAACCAGGACCUUUACUUUGAAAAGAUUAGAGUGUUUAAAGCAGGCAUUUUUGCUUGAAUACAUUAGCAUGGAAUAAUAAAAUAGGACGGCAUGGUUCUAUUUUGUUGGUUUCUAGGACCACCGUAAUGAUUAAUAGGGAUAGUUGGGGGCAUUAGUAUUCAAUUGUCAGAGGUGAAAUUCUUGGAUUUAUUGAAGACUAACUACUGCGAAAGCAUUUGCCAAGGAUGUUUUCAUUAAUCAAGAACGAAAGUUAGGGGAUCGAAGACGAUCAGAUACCGUCGUAGUCUUAACCAUAAACUAUGCCGACUAGGAAUCAGACGAUGUUAAUUUUUAAUGUACUCGUUUGG
Molecule: ribosomal RNA, 520 nt
Filed under: uncultured Entrophospora
Lineage: Eukaryota; Fungi; Glomeromycota; Glomeromycetes; Entrophosporales; Entrophosporaceae
Description: SSU rRNA
Rfam family: Eukaryotic small subunit ribosomal RNA
Source: RNAcentral